AGGAACCAUGGCUCACUGGAGCACCAUCUUUGGAGUCUAGCUAACACAGCAUCUUGGAUGCACUCCUAAGAGAAGACUACCUGAAAGGCGUGUACACUGGUCUAGCAGUUGAGAUCAGCUAGUGUUCCAUCUAUCUUCUGUCAUGUAUCUCUUCUAAGAUGUCUUGAUCGACUGACCCCAAAGCCAGAGGGUACCAGGUCAAAAAGCAAGUUUGGAAGUCUGGAAAAGUUCAAGAUUGGCCAUCUGCAGCUGGUGAGAGCCUCAGGCUGCUUCCCCUCAUGGUGGAAGGUGAAGGGGAGCUGGUGUGUGCAGAGAUUACAUGGGAAAUCCAGCCAAGAAAGUAUGUGUUCUAUGAGUGGCUGCCCUUGUAGUUAUUCAAGUGGUCCCACCAACAAUGCUCGAAAGGCACAGUAAACCAAGCUUUUCUAGGUCAUCAUUCUAGGCUUUGUUGAAGCAUGCAUUUUUGGCAUGAGGGUGGCAGCCUUUGCACUAUGUGCAUGGCUGAGGAGUUAGGAUCUGGAGGGUGAUGAAAGCAAAGGUGCUGCUGGUUACUCUUGGUUCAUCUAGCAAUAGAUGAUCUGAAUGUUAGAGUUCGCCAAAUAUUGUUCCUGGGCAGUCUUUGCUCUACCAAAUCAACUUUCUCCAUGGGGGAGCUAGAAGUCACCCCACAUUCUCCGCCAUGGCCAGCUCUACAUUCUAAGAGAACCAAUGGCUCUACCCAACAUAUUCUUCUCACCACAGAUGACAAAGACACAAGGAGCCAAGACAGAUCAUUCAAGCAUAUUCAUUGCCUCUAUCUUCAUCCCAUUAAAUAACAUCCCGCCAACCAAAGCAAGUUAUCUGCAUAAGAAUAAAUAUUCCACCUACUCUACUGCAAGGCCCUGCAAGAGUCAUGAGACAAAAGGAUCCUCUGUGGACAGCACCCAAGAUGGAAACAACUGACAGUCUAUGGCCAGGGCUAUACUCUGGUGAAACUGAAAGGUGUCUGCAUGGAAGUGUCUGACUACCACCAUCCACUCAGGCAAAUGCAUUUGUUUCCCUCUAUUCAUUAUUAGAAGAGAGGAGAUUACAUACCAGACAUAUACCAAUAGGUUUUCUCUUCAUAAUACCUACGUCAUCUAGUAGCAUAACAUAAGGCAGAAUCCUUCAAAGAUUUUCACCUGAACUUUUCUUGAGCAUCUCUAGACAGUCACAUGCAGAAUAACAACUGGGUUUUAGGACUCCUGUUCACCACCACUACCUCUACACAUAGCAGAUCCACGUAAGACACUUGCAUCCAAGACAAGUCAGAAUGAUUACAUAUGAAAGUUUUAAUUGCACUGUAUGGGGAUAUUGCUGUGUUGUGAAUUAAAUAAGAAUUCAUAUUUUCUUAUUAUGGGAUUAUGAUUUGAUAUUUUCUGUGAUCUUGUCAAAUAUAUUCUGCAUUCUAA
This is a long non-coding RNA of Homo sapiens (human), 1430 nucleotides long. Ensembl annotates it as long intergenic non-protein coding RNA 2465. The record is from Ensembl. NCBI's taxonomy places the organism in Eukaryota, Metazoa, Chordata, Mammalia, Primates, Hominidae.